RNAcentral lists this small RNA (60 nucleotides) under Arabidopsis thaliana (thale cress). RNAcentral's name for it is "ATSL041720". The record is from RNAcentral. Lineage: Eukaryota; Viridiplantae; Streptophyta; Magnoliopsida; Brassicales; Brassicaceae.
ACAUAGAAUUUUAACCAUCCAGCAAAAUCACGAUCUUUGUAAGUUUCAUAUUCAUUUUUU